RNAcentral lists this ribosomal RNA (266 nucleotides) under uncultured bacterium. RNAcentral's name for it is "partial 16S ribosomal RNA". It matches the Rfam family "Bacterial small subunit ribosomal RNA", at positions 57 to 305 of the family's 1533-position model. The record is from RNAcentral.
GCAAGUCGUACGAGAACGCGAUCUUCGGAUUGUUAGUAGAGCGGCGAACGGGUGAGUAACACGUAAGUAACCUUCCCCAAAAUCUGGGACAACCUUUCUAACGAUGGGCUAAUACCGGAUGUGAAUAUAAUAACUCAUGUUAUAAUAUUUAAAGAUGACCUCUACUUGUAAGUUAUUGUUUUGGGAUGGACUUGCGGACCAUUAGUUUGUUGGUGAGGUAACGGCUCACCAAGACUACGAUGGCUAGCCGACCUGAGAGGGUGAUC